AUAAACAUGCGUAAUCGUGCUCGGCCAAAGUUUGACCAAAAAAAAGACACACCAACUAUCCAAAAAAAAAAUCAUCUAUGGACCAUAAUAACCAUAUUAUUAAAUAUUAAUUGAUGUAACAUCUAAACAUGCGUACAAGACCUAUAACUCAUCUGGUUUAGUGUUGUCGUGGAAUCGUCAUCUGGUUUAAAACUUACAUAAAAUUUCAUUAAAAAGAAAAGAAGGAAUCUUGUGAUACUGUAUACAAUAUAGAAAGCUAUUUUCUUCAACGAUAAGUUGAGCUACAAGUUACAUAUUUUUCUCAACCUUUUGUGGCAAGUUAUAUGGAUCAGAGUGAAUGAAAUAUAUCUGUCUUGAUUUUAAGACUUUUGGACCACUUCAACAUUUUGGAGUUUUGUAAUUCAUAACAAGAUGUUUUCUUUCUUAACUUAUAUAUACAUAUUUAUUUUACUGCUAGACUACUAAUGUGGUAAAGUGUUGUUUGUUUCUUAAAAAAACCAUAAAAUACAACUACUUUUCCACAUUUUACCUUCUGCGACAUCACAUAUAUCAGUCUUCUGUCUCUCAGUUCUAGUAUUUUUUAAAAGUGGAUUUUCAAAGAUUUAGCUUCGUGGAGUUAUGUACCACUCAAAUAUUAAACAACAAUAUAAGAAAUUUGUUUCAGUAUCCGUUAGUAGUAUAAUCAUCUUUUCUUGUAUAUAGAUCAGGAGUGUGAUUUGAGCUUAGAUUUUCUCCUUGGGCUUCAACCCAUUUGGUUUUGGAAUAUUUUAUGUUUUAUAAACACUCAAACAAAGAGAAACUAAUCAAUACAAUACUAAAAGAGAAUAAUCUCAACUCUUAGCUAUGCCACGUCAUCAAAAAUAAUCCUCGAAUCAUAGCUCUUUAUUUUUGGGUUGGGCUUCAAAUCACAAUUGAAUGGGCUUUGUUUCACUUCCGGGUUAUGGGUCGAAUGUGUUUCGAUUUUGUCGUUGUUUUGGUUUUGUCUUUUAACUAAGUCGCGAGUCUGCGAGUUUCUUCUCCUCAUCCCCAAUUCACUUCGUCUUCUCACUUUCAAACCGUAGCUUCUAAGUUUUUUCAUCCUAUUCUUCACAAUCAAUUUCGCAAUCAAUCUCUUCUUAGCGAAGGAGAUGAGGAAGAGAAGCGCGAGAAAGAGGAGAGCCGAGGCAGGGCCACCACUGGUGCCCGAUCCGAGAGAGGAAAUUGGAGGCAAGGAGGUAGAUGUGGGGACGCUUGGUCUUGGAUUCGUCGGCGCCGGAUUCGCCGGAAUAAGAGAGAUCGGCGGAAGGAGAGAGCGCGAUCGAGCAUCGUCGUCGCGUUGGCCCGUAAACCCAUUAACGAGACCUAAUCAGAGAGCGCACCACCAAACCGUCACGAGGAUCUCUAUCUCAUUCUCUGUUGCGCAGGAGACGAUCUCCAUCUCUAUUCUUCCUUUCCGAACCUGAGAAACGUGAACGGAGAUGGUACCUUUGUCAUUAUCUCAACAUAAUCUCUGGCCACCGGAAUCUGUAUCUACGGUGUUUCGGGGUUACGCAACCGCCACAUCGAAACACGCCUGCGACCAUCUUCGCCGUCACCUCCGACUUGGCUUCCAUAUCCGCUCUUCCCUUCAGAUACUGCUGCAAGUCUAUGAUGCUGCACGAACGGAGUUCUCAAGAAGAGUCGUUGUAUUCAACAGGGCUAAGUUUCUUCACUCCAGAGAUGAUAUCAGAUCUUCGUUAUAUGUAUGUUUCUUUAGUGGAUGAGAGAGUAGGAUAGGUCCUAGAGGUGAGGAGGGGUCAUCAUCAAACCAUGAGACAUCCAAGAGAAACACAAGCAGUGGACGGAGGUGGACCAAUGUCCUCCUUGCCGUUAACGUUAUAAUGUAUUUGCACAAGUUGCAUCCAAUGGUAGAGUGCUGACAUGGGGAGCCAAGAUUAAACGUUGUUUGUUCUCUUCUCACUGCUUGCUCGAAACAGGUAUGUUAAUUAUUUUUUUGGUCCUGUGGAAUUUCAGGGCUUUGUUUUUUUUUAAUAAGUUACAAUGUUUAGAUUAAGAGUUUUGAAUUUAAUGAGUUUGGUGGAAGCUCAACGUUGGCUGCAACUCUUACUUGGGACAAUGAACUGUCCUGGACACUGGAGAAUACUACUGAAGAACUUUAAGAGACUAUGCUUUAGGUUUCUUCUGUUGUUAUGAGGUUACGUAUAGGGAGUCUCUAGGAUUAUAUGUUCUUAGCAAGAAUUAUGUUCCCACAAAAGGAUCGCAUUACACUGCUGUAAAGAAGGCUUUGGAGAUGAUUAAGCAAAAUAUUUCAUCUCUUAGUAAGAGUGAAGGGCAUGAUGCUUAUCACUUCUCUCUGCAACUAACUGGUGCACCAGCUCUUAUCGGGAACACGAUAUGUAUAUAAGUAGUCUCUUGGUGAAUUAUGUUUGAUUCACAUAUCUUGAAGAAAUUUUGUUAAAGAUAUGUGCAUUUUGUUUGACAUACAUCUUUGUGCAAUCACCUGAGAGGAUUUUCCAAAGGAACCGGUUAGGCGUCCGCAGUGAAGCUUUGACUGCAACUAGGCCUCGAGCUGCUUCAACUGCGUGUGAUAUCGAGAUAUAGCGUUACUUACUAACCAGGUGAGUUUUUAAUUCUACUGUUUUAAAAAAUCACAUAAUCCCAAGCCCUUUUUUCAUUGAAAUUUCCGGAUAUGCAUACUGAUUUGGUUUACCAAAUUGCUGCAGCCCUAAAGAUGACUUGAGUUUCCGGAUAUUCCUAUUGCUCUGCAUCUUUUAAACCUUUUGUCUAUAGUUAGUUUGAAUUUUGACUCUUUAACAAGUGUACUGACACAUGUUAUAUUAUCAUAUUUCUUCC
Molecule: long non-coding RNA, 2832 nt
Organism: Brassica napus (rape)
Lineage: Eukaryota; Viridiplantae; Streptophyta; Magnoliopsida; Brassicales; Brassicaceae
Exons: 6
Source: RefSeq, a predicted model, not a curated record